Molecule: ribosomal RNA, 253 nt
Filed under: uncultured bacterium
Lineage: Bacteria
Description: partial 16S ribosomal RNA
Rfam family: Bacterial small subunit ribosomal RNA
Source: RNAcentral
UACGAAGGGGGCUAGCGUUGUUCGGAAUCACUGGGCGUAAAGCGCACGUAGGCGGAUUCUUAAGUCAGGGGUGAAAGCCUGAGGCUCAACCUCAGAACUGCCUUUGAUACUGGGAAUCUUGAGUAUGGUAGAGGUCGGUGGAACAGCAAGUGUAGAGGUGAAAUUCGUAGAUAUUUGCUAGAACACCAGUGGCGAAGGCGGCCGACUGGACCAUAACUGACGCUGAGGUGCGAAAGCGUGGGGAGCAAACAGG